CGUGAGACAGUUCGGUCCCUAUCUGCCGUGGGCGUUGGAGAAUUGAGGGAAGCUGCUCCUAGUACGAGAGGACCGGAGUGGACGAACCUCUGGUGUUCCGGUUGUCACGCCAGUGGCAUUGCCGGGUAGCUACGUUCGGAAGGGAUAACCGCUGAAAGCAUCUAAGCGGGAAGCCUCCCUCAAGAUGAGAUCUCACUAAUCUAGCGAUUCUAAAGGACCCUCGAAGACUACGAGGUUGAUAGGCAGGGUGUGUAAGCGCUGUGAGGCGUUGAGCUAACCUGUACUAAUUGUCCGUGAGGCUUGACCAU
This 308-nucleotide ribosomal RNA is filed under the name seawater metagenome. Its description in RNAcentral is "bacterial LSU rRNA". It matches the Rfam family "Bacterial large subunit ribosomal RNA", at positions 2620 to 2925 of the family's 2925-position model. The record is from RNAcentral.